Molecule: ribosomal RNA, 243 nt
Filed under: Oxyura ferruginea (Andean duck)
Lineage: Eukaryota; Metazoa; Chordata; Aves; Anseriformes; Anatidae
Description: partial 12S ribosomal RNA
Source: RNAcentral
AAAGACUUAGUCCUAACCUUACGGUUGGCUUUUGCUAAAUAUAUACAUGCAAGUAUCCGCGCCCCAGUGUAAAUGCCCUCAACCACCUGUUCCAAAAACCAAGGCCUUGAGGAGCGGGUAUCAGGCACACCCAAGUAGUAGCCCAAGACGCCUUGCCAAGCCACACCCCCACGGGUAUUCAGCAGUAAUUAACAUUAAGCAAUGAGCGCAAGCUUGACUUAGUUAUAGCAACAGCCUAGGGUU